RNAcentral lists this unclassified non-coding RNA (774 nucleotides) under Hevea brasiliensis (rubber tree). Lineage: Eukaryota; Viridiplantae; Streptophyta; Magnoliopsida; Malpighiales; Euphorbiaceae. The record is from RNAcentral.
AGAGGGUCAUUUGCCACAUUUGAGCGCCCCAGCUUUGUUGGCCCAAGUGAUCCGGCGAGCCCUUUCGCGGUGAGCGAUGGCACUGCUUGUAGUUGUGGGAAAUGAAUGAAGAAGUCAAUUGACGUCAGUUAGGUCCGAGUUACUACGGUACAGGCACAGCUACUAAGUGGGGUCCCAAAAAAAAUUGUAAUAAGGUGGAGAUGUUGACACCUGGCGAAUAAUUUGUGGACAUUAGUCCAUUGUACUUGGGAUAAAUAUGUACUGAUGUAAUGAGAUGAAAUGAUAUUUUGGAAAGGAUAAGAAAUGCCCACGUGAUAAUCACGUGAUGAGGGAAUGCUACUUUGUUUUUAUCCACCUCGUUUCUUUUUUUCCUUGUUUUCGAGCGGGGAAGUUGGCAGAAGCUAUAAAGAGAUGAAAUGCUGCUAUUAAUUUUUGUACUUUUGGGGAACCCUCCAACAUGGCCUUUUCAGAAGAAAACAACGCCGCGUAUGGAUGAAAGAAUCUUUCUUAGUCUCUUGGAAACAAUCCAAACUUGUUAAUGACCCACUAACCUGAUUAUGGUGCAGAUAGAUUCUCCCUCGUUGCCACUUUUUUGCAGUCCUCCGUUAUCUACACCACCACCAGAUUCUUGAUUGAGGACUAUUCUAUCCUUAUUUUUUUAAAAAGAAACUUGUUUUGGGAAACAAACAGAACAAGCUUUUGAACCAUUUCGAUGUAUAGCCAAUCAUGGACAUAGAGGUUGAUGUACAAACAAAAACGUUAUUUUUUUAAUAU